ACGAACGCUGGCGGCGUGCUUAACACCUGCAGGUCGAACGCUGAAGCUCAGCUUUUGUUGGGUGGAUGAGUGGCGAACGGGUGAGUAACACGUGAGUAACCUGCCCCCUUCUUUGGGAUAACGCCCGGAAACGGGUGCUAAUACUGGAUAUUCACUGGUCUUCGCAUGGGGGUUGGUGGAAAGGGUUUUUCUGGUGGGGGAUGGGCUCGCGGCCUAUCAGCUUGUUGGUGGGGUGAUGGCCUACCAAGGCUUUGACGGGUAGCCGGCCUGAGAGGGUGACCGGUCACAUUGGGACUGAGAUACGGCCCAGACUCCUACGGGAGGCAGCAGUGGGGAAUAUUGCACAAUGGGCGCAAGCCUGAUGCAGCGACGCCGCGUGAGGGAUGGAGGCCUUCGGGUUGUGAACCUCUUUCGCUCAUGGUCAAGCCGCAACAAUGGUUGUGGUGAGGGUAGUGGGUAAAGAAGCGCCGGCUAACCACGUG
RNAcentral lists this ribosomal RNA (482 nucleotides) under uncultured bacterium. RNAcentral describes it as "partial 16S ribosomal RNA". It matches the Rfam family "Bacterial small subunit ribosomal RNA", at positions 29 to 507 of the family's 1533-position model. The record is from RNAcentral.